This 253-nucleotide ribosomal RNA is filed under the name uncultured bacterium. RNAcentral describes it as "partial 16S ribosomal RNA". It matches the Rfam family "Bacterial small subunit ribosomal RNA", at positions 524 to 776 of the family's 1533-position model. The record is from RNAcentral.
UACGAAGGGGGCUAGCGUUGUUCGGAAUUACUGGGCGUAAAGCGCACGUAGGCGGAUAUUUAAGUCAGGGGUGAAAUCCCGGGGCUCAACCCCGGAACUGCCUUUGAUACUGGGUAUCUCGAGUCCGAGAGAGGUGAGUGGAAUUCCGAGUGUAGAGGUGAAAUUCGUAGAUAUUGGGAAGAACACCGGUGGCGAAGGCGGCCAACUGGACCACAACUGACGCUGAGGCGCGAAAGCGUGGGGAGCAAACAGG